This 460-nucleotide ribosomal RNA is filed under the name uncultured bacterium. RNAcentral's name for it is "partial 16S ribosomal RNA". It matches the Rfam family "Bacterial small subunit ribosomal RNA", at positions 338 to 795 of the family's 1533-position model. The record is from RNAcentral.
CCUACGGGGGGCUGCAGUGAGGAAUAUUGGUCAAUGGACGCAAGUCUGAACCAGCCAUGCCGCGUGCAGGAAGACGGCUCUAUGAGUUGUCAACUGCUUUUGUACGAGGGUAAACGCGGAUACGCGUAUCUGCCUGAAAGUAUCGUACGAAUAAGGAUCGGCUAACUCCGUGCCAGCAGCCGCGGUAAUACGGAGGAUUCAAGCGUUAUCCGGAUUUAUUGGGUUUAAAGGGUGCGUAGGCGGUCGGAUAAGUUAGAGGUGAAAUCCCGAGGCUCAACUUCGGAAUUGCCGCUGAUACUGUUCGGCUAGAGAGUAGUUGCGGUAGGCGGAAUGUAUGGUGUAGCGGUGAAAUGCUUAGAGAGCAUACAGAACACCGAUUGCGAAGGCAGCUUACCAAGCUACUUCUGACGUUGAGGCACGAAAGCGUGGGGAGCAAACAGGAUUAGAUACCCGAGUAGUC